GUAAGGAUGCCCGGGCUGGCUCCGCUGGGAAGAGCCGGUGUGACGUUUCCCUUUCCAGCCUUCCGGCCUUGCUGUCUGCCUCCCGGGCUGAUUGGAUUCGUUACUGCUUUGCAACGCGCACCGAACUACAGAUAACAAUUCUCCUGGAGGAGGGAAGGUUGGGCAGCUGCAGCAGGAGGCCGACCCCAGGACUUUGGAUCCCUGUCUCCACUGUGUAACUCCAACUGGUAAUGGGACUGGAGACCCCAGGAUCCCUCAGCAAAAAGACUGCUGACUAAGGAGAAGACUGCUGGGAGCCCCUCCCCAGUUCCCUCCUGUGAUAGGCUGGAGUGCAGUGGCACAAUCUCAGCUUGCUGUGACCUCAGCUCUCUGCGAC
Piliocolobus tephrosceles (Ugandan red Colobus) is the source of this 376-nucleotide long non-coding RNA. RefSeq lists it as uncharacterized. The transcript has 3 exons. The record is from RefSeq and is a predicted model, not a curated record. Lineage: Eukaryota; Metazoa; Chordata; Mammalia; Primates; Cercopithecidae.